RNAcentral lists this ribosomal RNA (38 nucleotides) under Scolecobasidium sexuale. Its description in RNAcentral is "Ochroconis sexualis partial 26S ribosomal RNA". The record is from RNAcentral. Lineage: Eukaryota; Fungi; Ascomycota; Dothideomycetes; Venturiales; Sympoventuriaceae.
CGAUAUAACAACCGAUAUACACUUACCAAAGUUUGGCC